Molecule: transfer RNA, 75 nt
Filed under: Candidatus Heimdallarchaeota archaeon
Lineage: Archaea; Promethearchaeati; Candidatus Heimdallarchaeota
Description: tRNA-Ile
Rfam family: tRNA
About the family: Transfer RNA (tRNA) molecules are approximately 80 nucleotides in length. Their secondary structure includes four short double-helical elements and three loops (D, anti-codon, and T loops). Further hydrogen bonds mediate the characteristic L-shaped molecular structure. tRNAs have two regions of fundamental functional importance: the anti-codon, which is responsible for specific mRNA codon recognition, and the 3' end, to which the tRNAs corresponding amino acid is attached (by aminoacyl-tRNA synthetases). tRNAs cope with the degeneracy of the genetic code in two manners: having more than one tRNA (with a specific anti-codon) for a particular amino acid; and 'wobble' base-pairing, i.e. permitting non-standard base-pairing at the 3rd anti-codon position.
Source: RNAcentral
GGGCUAGUAGCUCAGCCUGGUUAGAGCGCUCGGCUGAUAACCGGGAAGUCGGCGGUUCAAAUCCGCCCUGGCCCA